Branchiostoma belcheri (Belcher's lancelet) is the source of this 840-nucleotide long non-coding RNA. RefSeq lists it as uncharacterized. Lineage: Eukaryota; Metazoa; Chordata; Leptocardii; Amphioxiformes; Branchiostomatidae. The record is from RefSeq and is a predicted model, not a curated record. The transcript has 3 exons.
GUCCUAGUCCACUUUUCUGCCUCCGAGCCCUUUAAUCGUUUCAGUCCGCUUUCAGUUUAACUCUGUUGCAGCGGAUCCCAUGUCUAACCAUGGAGCUAUAAUACACAUAGUUUGCUAUAGCCCACGGUCCGUCUAACUCAAGAAUGAAUUUAAGACUUUUUGUUGAUCUUUGUUUGGUAUACUAGAUCUAGGCCGCCCCCUCCCCCUUGCUUACUUCCGGGUUACGCCAUUUGUGUUUCGCUGUUCGGUAUGACGUGUCCAGGCGAUGAUGUCAUAACCAAACAACAAUUUAAGCCACAGUCUGAUAUCAACAAGACUGGGUGAGCUUCAACUGAUAUGAGGAAUCGUGUGCUCUAGUUUCAAGCAGCAUUUGAACGACGAAGUUGAAGUCACCGACGGAAUUUUACUACAACAAGUCAGGACUGACUGUAAGAAAUAUGGAAACGCUGCCGACAGUUAUCCGACUCCUGUGUGGCCUGUACUUCGUGUACACGUCUUUCGUCUGGUCAGCUGGGUCACUAUUGUCACUGGCACUCUUUGCAGCUUCCAUUUUUCUGUUGCGGUCCCCGCGAGACGGAGCGAUGACGUCAACUCUCCAGAACACACGGUCUCCAAGGCAACGGAGUAACCAUGGAGACGAGAACAUCCCAAGGGACGCGGAGGAAAGAUAUACGCGGCAGGUCUUGGAUCUCGUGUGUUACGACGCCGGUUCGAGUAGUUCGCUGCAGAACUUCACGCGUGUGAAGGAAGGGACGGAGUGCGUGUUCGCCAGGUCGGCAAGACUGUGGGGGUCGGCGGAUUGGGCGGAUCAGCUCAGCUUAGAGGAAAAUGCAAGAAGGU